Molecule: long non-coding RNA, 213 nt
Filed under: Lathyrus oleraceus (garden pea)
Lineage: Eukaryota; Viridiplantae; Streptophyta; Magnoliopsida; Fabales; Fabaceae
Description: Pisum sativum (pea) long non-coding RNA (PSAT_LNC025952)
Source: RNAcentral
AUGUACCCUUACAUGGCGAAACGAUUGGCUGAGCGGGCUUUCCCUUGCCAACUGGACUUAAGUGAAACGCGGCGUUUCAUUUAAGUGGCGCCCUUUUUUAAAAACACACAUGGUUCGAUCCUUGGAGAUGGUGAUUUCAAAUUUUGGUUUUGGCAUUUUCUCAUUAUAUGCUUCACAGGUUCAUAUGCCAUUCCACAUGAUUUUUCAUUUUUU